AUGAACGCUGGCGGCGUGCCUAAUACAUGCAAGUCGAGCGAACGGACGAGAAGCUUGCUUCUCUGAUGUUAGCGGCGGACGGGUGAGUAACACGUGGAUAACCUACCUAUAAGACUGGGAUAACUUCGGGAAACCGGAGCUAAUACCGGAUAAUAUUUUGAACCGCAUGGUUCAAAAGUGAAAGACGGUCUUGCUGUCACUUAUAGAUGGAUCCGCUCUGCAUUAGCUAGUUGGUAAGGUAACGGCUUACCAAGGCAACGAUGCAUAGCCGACCUGAGAGGGUGAUCGGCCACACUGGAACUGAGACACGGUCCAGACUCCUACGGGAGGCAGCAGUAGGGAAUCUUCCGCAAUGGGCGAAAGCCUGACGGAGCAACGCCGCGUGAGUGAUGAAGGUCUUCGGAUCGUAAAACUCUGUUAUUAGGGAAGAACAUAUGUGUAAGUAACUGUGCACAUCUUGACGGUACCUAAUCAGAAAGCCACGGCUAACUACGUG
Molecule: ribosomal RNA, 496 nt
Filed under: uncultured bacterium
Lineage: Bacteria
Description: partial 16S ribosomal RNA
Rfam family: Bacterial small subunit ribosomal RNA
Source: RNAcentral